Molecule: transfer RNA, 59 nt
Filed under: Acidobacteriota bacterium
Lineage: Bacteria; Pseudomonadati; Acidobacteriota
Description: Acidobacteria bacterium (groundwater metagenome) tRNA-Ile
Source: RNAcentral
AGCUCAGUUGGUUAGAGCGCGCCCCUGAUAAGGGCGAGGUCGACCGUUCGACUCGGUCC